This is a long non-coding RNA of Coffea eugenioides, 479 nucleotides long. RefSeq lists it as uncharacterized. The record is from RefSeq and is a predicted model, not a curated record. Lineage: Eukaryota; Viridiplantae; Streptophyta; Magnoliopsida; Gentianales; Rubiaceae. The transcript is spliced from 2 exons.
AGCAAGCUGCUGAGGUAGAACGCUGGAGGCAUGAGAUUGAGGACAGCCGAAAAAGAGCAGAUGAAGCAGAAAAACGAGCUGCAGAAGUAACUCAACAAUUCACUGCUCAGCAAGAGUUGAUUAAGACCUUGCAACAGCAACAAACAGAAACAAGAAGCCUGUAUGAUGAGUUAGCUAACCAGCUGAAAGACUUGCGCAAAUAAGCAACUUCUGUGUCAGGUUCUAACACGAUUCCCAAGAAGAAGAAGCCAGUCAUUGCUGUGAAGAUGGUUUUUGAUUUGAAGACUACAAGGCCUAUCGUGCUCAUGUUUUGUUCUAGAUGGGAAUCGUGCUCAUAUUUUUGUAUAGAACUUUACUACUCUCUAUUGUGGAUGGGAAAUCACUAGUAUUGUAACUGAAUGGCUUAUUUUGGAUGGUGCAUGGUUUAUGACUCAUUUGAGGCAACAUUUAUAUAUAUAUGUAUUUGGGUUGAUCUUCUA